ACUAGAAGGUCAUUACUUCUGGAAGGUCAAGAAGCACCAUAUGGAUGCUGUGGAAAGAACUUCGAUGUGAGAUGCAAACAAGGGUUUCUGCAGGAAGCAACAUGGAAAUGGAGCAGAGAGCUGCCAUGUGCUCAGGGCAAGACCAUGACGGAGCCAUGAAGAGGCCUGGAUCCUGAUUGCAUACCAGAGCAGGCAUCUGCCCUCAGCCUAGGCACAGGCUGGAUGUGCCAACUGCAUCUACCAGGGACACCUGUGUUCCACAGGGAAUGGGAAAGAUCCUUGGAAAACAACGGGGCGAGGUUUACUUCUUACCACCUUGGACAAACAGAAGUCAAAUAUAAAGAUGCAUGCAAUGGAAUUUCUAAGUAUUCAAACAGGCUGAAUAAACAAAUGGUUGGAAAGUGGUGUGGUUUUCUGCUCUCUACACAGUGCUAGCUCAGAUCCAGCAAGGUUUCUUAGAUUCCAUAUUGUCUGCACUUACAGGAGGGCUUGUGACAAACUUUUGGGCUUUUUUUUUUUUAAUUCCAUCGGCAGAUGAUAUCAACUCAAAUGCAUAAUGUGGUUUGGGUUAACACAUACCUCUGUGUAGCAACCUGAAAAUUUAGACCAAAUAGAAAGAGGUGUUCUUAGAGGUUUCAGGGCACUGGCUACUGCAAGUAAUGGAAAUCUUGUAACAAAACCACUUCGUGUAUUUCUAGUAAA
Aquila chrysaetos chrysaetos is the source of this 702-nucleotide long non-coding RNA. RefSeq lists it as uncharacterized. The transcript is spliced from 3 exons. Lineage: Eukaryota; Metazoa; Chordata; Aves; Accipitriformes; Accipitridae. The record is from RefSeq and is a predicted model, not a curated record.